UGGGAAUCCUUUCGGCCGAAUAUCUAAGGUUUCCAGAGUAAAGCUGAUCUGCUCUGGGUAAGUCGGGGCCUAAGCACAGGUCGCAAGACGUAAGCGAUGGAUAACAGGUUUAGAUUCCUGUACCACGCAUUAUCAGAACUGUAGGGACGCAUGUGGAAAGCACGAGCCGGGAAUGGAAAGACCGGUACAAGCGGGGUAGGUGUACAAUAGGCAAAUCCGUUGUAUAAUCCGAAGACGUGAUGUGGAGCGAAAUAAAGUAGUGAAGCGUGUGAGCCAUGUGCCGAGAAAAGCUGCUAUUGUGUAAUGCGUGCCCGUACCGUAAACCGACACAGGUGGAUGAGGAGAGAAUCCUAAGGCCGACGGAAGAAGCAUUGUUAAGGAAUUCGGCAAAAUGACCCCGUAACUUCGGGAGAAGGGGUGCCUGCGAGAGCAGGCCGCAGAGAAUAGGCUCAAGCAACUGUUUAGCAAAAACACAGGUCUAUGCGAAACCGAAAGGUGAAGUAUAUGGGCUGACGCCUGCCCGGUGCUGGAAGGUUAAGAGGAGAGGUUAGCGUAAGCGAAGCUUUGAAUUUAAGCCCCAGUAAACGGCGGCCGUAACUAUAACGGUCCUAAGGUAGCGAAAUUCCUUGUCGGGUAAGUUCCGACCCGCACGAAAGGCGUAAUGAUUUGAGCACUGUCUCGACAAUGCAUCCGGUGAAAUUGAAGUACCAGUGAAGAUGCUGGUUACCCGCGCCAGGACGGAAAGACCCCAUGGAGCUUUACUCCAGUUUGAUACUGGGAUUCGGUACUGCAUGUACAGGAUAGGUGGGAGACGAAGAAGGAUGGACGCCAGUCUGUCCGGAGUCGCUGUUGGGAUACCACCCCUGUAGUACUGGGUUUCUAACCAGUUGCCAUGAACUGGCAAUGGGACAAUGUCAGGCGGGGAGUUUGACUGGGGCGGUCGCCUCCGAAAGGGUAUCGGAGGCGCUCAAAGGUUCCCUCAGAAUGGUUGGAAACCAUUUGAAGAGUGCAAAGGCAGAAGGGAGCUUGACUGCGACACCGACGGGUGGAGCAGGUACGAAAGUAGGACUUAGUGAUCCGGUGGUAUAAAGUGGGAUUGCCAUCGCUCAACGGAUAAAAGCUACCCUGGGGAUAACAGGCUUAUCACUCCCAAGAGUUCACAUCGACGGAGUGGUUUGGCACCUCGAUGUCGGCUCAUCGCAUCCUGGGGCUGUAGCAGGUCCCAAGGGUUGGGCUGUUCGCCCAUUAAAGCGGUACGCGAGCUGGGUUCAGAACGUCGUGAGACAGUUCGGUCCCUAUCCGGCGCGGGCGGAGGAUAUUUGAGAGGAGCUGUCCUUAGUACGAGAGGACCGGGAUGGACGGACCACUGGUGUAUCUGUUGUCGACCAACGGCAUGGCAGAGUAGCCAAGUCUGGAAGGGAUAAACGCUGAAGGCAUCUAAGCGUGAAGCCCCCCUCAAGAUGAGAUAUCCCUCCUUCGGGAGUAAGACCCCUUGAAGACUACAAGGUAGAUAGGGCAGAGGUGGAAGCAUGGCAACAUGUGGAGCUGACUGUUACUAAUAGGUCGAGGGCUUAAUCUG
RNAcentral lists this ribosomal RNA (1579 nucleotides) under Agathobacter rectalis. Its description in RNAcentral is "partial 23S ribosomal RNA". It matches the Rfam family "Bacterial large subunit ribosomal RNA", at positions 1322 to 2925 of the family's 2925-position model. Lineage: Bacteria; Bacillati; Bacillota; Clostridia; Lachnospirales; Lachnospiraceae. The record is from RNAcentral.